RNAcentral lists this ribosomal RNA (253 nucleotides) under uncultured bacterium. Its description in RNAcentral is "partial 16S ribosomal RNA". It matches the Rfam family "Bacterial small subunit ribosomal RNA", at positions 524 to 776 of the family's 1533-position model. The record is from RNAcentral.
UACGUAGGGUGCAAGCGUUGUCCGGAAUUAUUGGGCGUAAAGAGCUCGUAGGCGGUCUGUCGCGUCGAAUGUGAAAACCCGGGGCUCAACCCCGGGCCUGCAUUCGAUACGGGCAGACUAGAGUUCGGUAGGGGAGUCUGGAAUUCCUGGUGUAGCGGUGAAAUGCGUAGAUAUCGUGAGGAAGACCAGUGGCGAAGGCGGAUCUCUGGACAGUUCCUGACGCUGAGGCACGAAGGCCAGGGGAGCAAACGGG